GACGAACGCUGGCGGCGUGCUUAACACAUGCAAGUCGAACGGUGAAGGGGCCUGCUUUUGUGGGCCCUGGAUGAGUGGCGAACGGGUGAGUAACACGUGAGUAACCUGCCCCCUUCUUCUGGAUAACCGCAUGAAAGUGUGGCUAAUACGGGAUAUUCUGGGUCUGUCGCAUGAUGGGUCUGGGAAAGAUUGCGCCUUUGGGUGUUUUUGGUGGGGGAUGGGCUCGCGGCCUAUCAGCUUGUUGGUGGGGUGAUGGCCUACCAAGGCGGUGACGGGUAGCCGGCCUGAGAGGGUGGACGGUCACACUGGGACUGAGGCACGGCCCAGACUCCUACGGGAGGCAGCAGUGGGGAAUAUUGCACAAUGGGCGCAAGCCUGAUGCAGCGACGCCGCGUGAGGGAUGGAGGCCUUCGGGUUGUAAACCUCUUUCGCCAGUGAAGCAGGCCUGCUCCUUGUGGGUGGGUUGACGGUAGCUGGAUAAGAAGCGCCGGCUAACUACGUG
RNAcentral lists this ribosomal RNA (502 nucleotides) under uncultured bacterium. RNAcentral describes it as "partial 16S ribosomal RNA". It matches the Rfam family "Bacterial small subunit ribosomal RNA", at positions 28 to 507 of the family's 1533-position model. The record is from RNAcentral.